CCUACGGGAGGCAGCAGUGAGGAAUAUUGGUCAAUGGGCGAGAGCCUGAACCAGCCAAGUCGCGUGAGGGAGUACUGCCCUAUGGGUUGUAAACCUCUUUUGUCGGGGAGCAAAAGCCGGACGUGUCCGGCUGUGAGAGUACCCGAAGAAAAAGCAUCGGCUAACUACGUGCCAGCAGCCGCGGUAAUAUGGAGGAUGCGAGCGUUAUCCGGAUUUAUUGGGUUUAAAGGGUGCGCAGGCGGAUUUUUAAGUCAGCGGUAAAAUCGUGGGGCUCAACCCCAUCCAGCCGUUGAAACUGGGGAUCUAGAGUGUGCGAGAGGUAUGCGGAAUGCGUGGUGUAGCGGUGAAAUGCAUAGAUAUCACGCAGAACCCCGAUUGCGAAGGCAGCAUACCGGUGCACAACUGACGCUCAGGCACGAAAGCGUGGGUAUCGAACAGGAUUAGAUACCCCAGUAGUC
RNAcentral lists this ribosomal RNA (458 nucleotides) under uncultured bacterium. Its description in RNAcentral is "partial 16S ribosomal RNA". It matches the Rfam family "Bacterial small subunit ribosomal RNA", at positions 338 to 795 of the family's 1533-position model. The record is from RNAcentral.